This 170-nucleotide small nuclear RNA is filed under the name Ictidomys tridecemlineatus (thirteen-lined ground squirrel). RNAcentral describes it as "Spermophilus tridecemlineatus (thirteen-lined ground squirrel) 7SK RNA". It matches the Rfam family "7SK RNA", at positions 1 to 177 of the family's 331-position model. From Rfam's summary of the family: 7SK was discovered as an abundant small nuclear RNA in the mid-70s but a possible function has only recently been suggested. Two independent studies have found that 7SK RNA binds the CDK9/cyclin T complex (known as elongation factor P-TEFb). Lineage: Eukaryota; Metazoa; Chordata; Mammalia; Rodentia; Sciuridae. The record is from Rfam by way of RNAcentral.
GGAUGUGAAGGGAUCUGGCUGAGCCUCUGUCUCCCUAGUUAUCUCCAGGGUGGGUUCAGCUGAGCAGGCUGUAUAGGCAGGUGUCCUCUCCUCACUGUUCUCUGUGUGUCCUUCCUGAAGUUGUGCACUGGGUCAGAGAGGACAACCUUCCUUGGUAGGAGAGGACUGAG